GAUGGUGGCAAGGGUGCGGGGGAACACCUCUUCCCAUACCGAACAGAGCCGUUAAGCCCCGUUACGCCGAUGGUACUGCCGUCACUGGUGGGAGAGUAGGUUGCCGCCACCA
Molecule: ribosomal RNA, 112 nt
Filed under: Larkinella knui
Lineage: Bacteria; Pseudomonadati; Bacteroidota; Cytophagia; Cytophagales; Spirosomataceae
Also listed under: 1 other name
Source: RNAcentral